Bombus pascuorum is the source of this 3802-nucleotide long non-coding RNA. RefSeq lists it as uncharacterized. The transcript is spliced from 2 exons. The record is from RefSeq and is a predicted model, not a curated record. NCBI's taxonomy places the organism in Eukaryota, Metazoa, Arthropoda, Insecta, Hymenoptera, Apidae.
AAACCGGGGAGGACCGGCGAUUCUAUCGCGACGAUUUUCCUCUGAUGAGACUCGCGCGGAUGUGAAUGGGGGUGCGAAUGGUGAAUGCUAUGAAAUAGAGACCUGCGCGGGUCUCUGCGUUUAGGAUAUUCGGAGAGAAGACGGAACUUUGGUGGAAAGUUUACAAUUAUUUGAAGUAGUUACGUGCUGUGCGACGAAACCUUAUUAACGUUUAAAAUGUAAAUGUUUAGAAUGCUAUGAAGCGACUAUUUACUGGUAUCUACGUAGGAGGGAGUUGGGGAAGUUGGGAAAAAGGAUCCUCCGGUGGGAAUUUUUGUCGCUAUACGUGAAAUUUUUAUAUCAUAUUUGGACACACACAAUUACAUAAAUAUUAUAUUAUAUAAAUUUCUCUGUGCGAUAGGUACGUACAUGUGGCUGUAUAGGGUGUUUAGAGAGAAAAGGCGACAUUUUAAGGAAAGCGUUAAAAUUCCGCGAAACAGUUAUACACGCGUAGUUACAGAGGGUGUUCAGAUAAACGGACAAAGUAUGAAUUUAGUAUGAAUUUUUAGAAUUGCGCGAAAUAGCUGGAUAUGCAUACGGAUAUGUAUAUAGGAUAUUCAGAAGAAAAAUGAAAUUUCAGUAUGUAUGUAUCUUUACGGUUGUGCGAAGCAGCUACGUAUAGUUAGUUAUAUAGGAUGUCCAAUGAAAAAGAAGAAACUUCAGAGCGUAGAUAAUUUUAUAAAGAAGGUAAAAUUUGAUAUCAGUUUCACCGAAGACAAAUGCUCUCAUCUAGUUAAUUAACAACUUAUGAAAGUACAAUUUUACAAUUUUACACGUGAAAGAGUUAUUCGUUCCGUUCGAGAUUAAUCACGACUCUCGUCCAAAGCUGCAAACAUAAAAAUUCAUUCACCUGGCGUUGAAAAAAUUCAAAUCCUUCCUUUACAAAUACCCUGCCACGCACACACGCCCACAUGCGCACACGCUUCCUUUCAGACCGUGACAAUUCUAUUUCGUCACGCAAAUAGCAAAUAGAGUCGAUUAGAUAUUCGAUUAGACGUAAUUGCGAAAGAGACGAAGGGAAUUGGUAUACGCACGGCGGAAACGUUUCGGUGUUUCACGCUGCCACAAUUUCCCAGUCGCUCGCGACGCAACGGUUCAAACAUUCAGAUAAAUAUCGUGACUGUUGUUUUAUUAACGAGGGGAAAUGAAAAAUCGCAGUCGCAAGCAGGGGGUGAAAUUAUCGAUCGCCGUGCCAUCGAAAGAUUUUCGAUCGUGAUACGCGAAGCUAAGCGAAUGCAGGCUAAUUGCCAGGGACUAAUGAAAAUGUAACAGAGGUAAAAGCAUUAUGGACUAAUUAGGUACAUAUACGGGGUGUCCCGUUUGAUUUUAUCACUUGUAAUCUGUCUCGAUUGUUUCUGAUAAUAUGUGUGUUGAAAAAUGUUUCGGUAGCGAGCUAAAUGGUUUCGAGGGGAACUUAAUUUGUCACGAUUAGUUUUUCUCGUAGGGGAACGCAUAAAGGACGUACGAAAGUCAUCGAUGUAUUUUUAAACGGGAUCAUAUAUUUUUUAAUACGUUAUUCGAUUCAGCUGGACAUUCUCCACAAAUAAAGUAUUUAUCCAAUUCAACGUAUGAAAGACAAAGACAAUGUAAACGUGAGAAUAUCGAUUCGUGUCUUCUACAAAAUUGGACAAAUUAAAGUUAAAAUAUCAGCUAAGCUAAUAGUGUCUCGACAUAAAUAGAUUAACACUUUUCUUUCAUACGAUUCCAUUUAAACAAAUACGAUGAUCUUCGUACGUCAUGUACGUGUUCCCCUACGGAAAAACUAACGACGUCAAAUAAUGUCGCCGUCGAAAACAUUGAACUCUGAUUGUUUUCUAAUAUUAUGAAAAACAAGCGAGAUAUUGCAAGUGAUAAAAAGUUAGGUGGGACACCCUGUAUAGAAUGAAUUCUUCGGCGCGUGUCUAUUAUUUAAUACGUCUGAAGGCUAUGCAUUUAACGAAUGGCACAAUGGUUGUAGUGUAGUUUUUGGCGCGUUUCGAUAAAACGAUUUAGAGUGGAUAACAAAGGAGCGGAUAAUUUAUCGAGACAAAGAUCGUUAUCUGAAACAGAGGCCGAUGGAAAACGAAUGCAAUUUCAAGCUUGGGUAGUAGCGGGUAUUUUAGUAGUAGCGAAUGUGUUAAUGGAAUGACGACAUACGUUCAAAUUAUUAUCGAGGUUUAUUAAUUAUUAUUAUAAGAAAUAUUUGUCUGUUGAUAUUUACUCGUUCUGAACUGUUUACCGUGUGAGCUGAACGAAUUGUUUGACUCGCACAUAAACACACAUUUUCAUUGUUAUCAGAAUUAAGAUGAAUUAGAUGAAAAUCUUGUGGAAAAUAAUGCGAUUUCAGGGGACGAUGAAACACGAUUUCACAAUUAUCGGUAUCGUUAUUACUAUCUAAUACGAAUAUCAGUUUAUUCAGAUUUCUUCGUUAUUGUUACUUAUUCGUUCUAAGUUAUUUAUACGAAGCGAAUCGUUUGACUUGUGUAUAUUUAGUUUUAGUAGACUGCGAUCGCGCGGGCCAAGGCGUUGGCCAAUGACAGUACUGCGGUCACAGAUUUAUAGUUAGAUUUUCGCAUAGGAUCGAACGAACCGGUGAAACGAAACAGUUAACACCGAGAGCGGAAGGAUACAUGUACGAGCCACAGGUAAGCUUUCCAGUGGAAGCCACUAUGGCUGACGCCGAGAGCCAUUGAGGAUAUCGUGGACGUAUCGGUACUUGCCUAAUACUGUCGACCACCAAGGUGAGAGUGCAUUGACAAAUUGACGUGUACUUAGCUAAUGCCGCGUGUUACUAAAGAGAAGCGUGGACGAACCGACGCGACGCGACGCGACGUAUGGCUAUAAUACUGGUUAUUGAGCCAUUGAAGUAAAGGGUGUGGGCCUCGUAACUCGCGAUAUAUCUCGAACCGCAAAGGUAUCAAUGCCAGUUAUCUGCUGAUUAAUUGUCUAAUAACUUCGGGAUGGGUUUUGAAAGGAACGAUGCGAAUUAAUCUGAACGAUGUUACGUAUUUUGCUGGAUUCGUGAUCGGUUAUUUUACUAAAAUUUUCAAGAGCAAGAAUUCUACAACUUUUUUUUAUUUGGAAUUACUGAGAAUUUGAAAUUGAAACUGGAAGCUUCUUCGGGUUUCUUCUACGCAAUUGUUUCUUUUAAUCAAUUGCCUCGCAUCGUCGGACAGGACGUUUUAAUUUCAUAUUAAUUAAUUUUUAGUAAUCGUACGAAGACGUAGCGAUAAAUAUUCAGCAGUCGCGCGAUAAGAUGUUAAAAUUACGACAUUCUUUGGUAUAAUCUUAGUUACCAAAAAUUACAAAGGUUAAGAAGUGCACGAUCUGACGAGCAUUUCUUGCUGGAAUUUAUGCGCGAAUGACGUACGGACGUUCUUCGGAAAUGUACUAAAUAUACAAAUGAUUCGAGGAUGCAUUGGUAGGGAACUUAAAUUUCAUUUUGCACACUGUCAACGUAAUAUUCUGAAUUAAUUUCAGCAGCGAGAAGUUUCAAAAUUUAUCUCCUUAUUUCAUUCGGCGAGAGUGAACCUUUCCCGACAGAUGCGCUAAACUAAUUAAUAUUUGUUUAUUACGAGAUUUCCUGUAUGGAAACAUCGUAUUUAGAGAUACUUCGUAUUUUAUUUUCAAACGUACGGUAGCUUACUAGAAUUGCCAGUGAUCAAAUUGACUACAAUUUAUAACUUUCCAUAGCAAUUUUAUAGAUUUACGAUAGCCGAUACAUUUUUCGAGUUUUGAGCUAUUUCUGUUACGUAUAUGAAAGUAAAACUGUGCUUUUCCUUUG